UGUGGGGUGGCUUCACUUCAGGUAGGGACUGAACUCUGCUCUUCCCUGAGAAGCCCAGGAUGUCUCAUCGCGGCAGAUCUUCUGUGUUCUAAUUAGCACGGGACAUCGGCAGCUGGUGGUCACGUUGUGUGAUACCCGAGCCAGAAGCAGGUGGCUGAUGGCCAUCAAGGACAGAGAACUCUGUAAACAGCCUUUUAAAGGCUCCAGCCCUCCAGGAUCAGGCAGGAUGAUCUCACGUUUUCUGCCUCCUCUUUCAGGUCAGCCCUCAUUUAACUCCCACAGCUACUGAGUGCUACAGCCUGCCCACCUGGCUCACAUAGAGGCAGCGCCUUCCCCUUACUUUUGAACCCCUGGGGACCACGCUCUGUGGGAAAUGGGGUGGUCUCACUGGAUCAGGCCAAUCACAGCCUAGUCCUGGGGCUGGGGGCGGGGUCAGCCCCAAGGGCUGCUGGGUAGAGAGGCGGAGAAGGACCAGGUGAAAGGUUGCCUAACAUCCUCCCACUAGUACCCAAGGCAGGGAAGUCACACAGCUGUCCUCUUCUGCCAAAUGGGAGGAAUCGUGACACUCUUCCCACAGUUUUGCUGUGUUGUUCUGAGGCAGAAGGCUCAGCAAUCUGGGAGCCGAGCACGGUGGGUGGAGGGCCAGUGUGAUUAUUGCUGGGACUAUUUUAGUUCACUAAGAGUUGUUUUAUUUCCAUCAAGGGAAAGGAGAAUGCUGUCCCUUCAUCGUGAAACAGUUAUUGCAUGAAAUUAGUCUUUGUUAUACAAGUGUAUAUCCCCCUGUAAUGAAACUUGAACCAGGAGCACAGAGUCAAGUCUCUGCUGGUUGGGUGGGCGCCCUGCGCAAGGCUGUUUCUGCGCUCUCCACCAUCUGAGUAGUCACUCCGACAAAACACGUAAAUACUGAUGUCUUCAACCAAUGUCCAACAACUUCCCACUGGGUUCCCGGCUCAGUGUCCGGAGCAGAGCAUCUGUGGGGUGACCCUAAGGAAGGUAAGCGAUGAGGAUCUGGGGGUAGGAGACCAGUCAGGGAGGCCACCAGGGAUUUCGGCAGAGAUAGUGUGAGGAGGGCGUCAGGGUGGGACUGGUUUCCUGCAGGGUCAGCGGGAGCCAAAGUCUGAACCAGAACAGGUCAAGACAUGGCUGUGGAUGGUGUGAAGUGUGUGUGUGGGGGUGUAUAUGGGAAGCAACAGGUGUUGGGGUUCAGAGCACACCCCACAGGCAAGAGCAGUAGCUGGACUCAAGAGGCUUUUGGACAGCCUAUAUGUGUCUAAAAUUGCAUCUGAAUGUGUCUCACACACACGGGCAGCCUGACUCUCAGGGGCCUCGCUCUGCGCUCACAGGUCUCUGGCGCGCAUGCGUGCAUAUUGAUCUCCCAUUCCGGACUUUGCAGUUCCCACAGGCAGGGCUGUGGACUCUGUUCAGGUUGUACAAUAUUGAUUUCACAGCAAAGGGACUGUGAUUUUACGCUCCUUGAUCGAAAUAAAGCGUCAGGUGCCUUACUUAAUACCCACAGCAGAUGCGGGUCAGGAGCGGCUGUGACUGUGACUGGAAAAAGGAUUUGUCUGUCCUCCCUUACCUGGGUUAGUGAAGGUGCUGGUCCCAAACCAUUGAAGGGACAUUGCCUGAUAACACACCUCACAGCUCCUUAGACCAGGCUUACAGAUGGACCUACAGACCGAUAUUACACAGAGCCUGCAUCUGCUCAGGAAAACCACCGGACCCCUCUCUACCUUACACAGCACCGGGAGGGAGGGGGCGUGGCCAGAGCAGGGGUGAGGCCAGGAUGAGGAGGACAAGCUCUGUUUCAGAGACUAGACUUCAUUGGAGGGUACAGUAGAAGUGGCAUUGGGGACUGAAGGGGACAGGUUGAUUUGGGCGCCCUCAGCUCGAAGAGGAAGAAAAGCAGGAAGAAGCAAGGCAAGCUGGAAGAAGGACAGGGUAGGGGCCCAGGGCAGCGAGGCUCGAGGAGGGGGAGGGGUCAUGAGGACAUAUGCUGAGUCUGCAGAAGCUCAGUUGCAGGUGAGAGUUUCACCACAAAGAGUCCGAAUACUUUUCACCUGUAUUUUCAUUAACUUAGUGAUCGCACCCGUGCAUGCGCACUCACACACGCGCACACACACACGCGCGCACACACACACGUGCACAUGCACGAUGUGACAGGAAGUUAGUGGGAGUCAAUUUUCUCCUUCUAGCGUCUGAGUCCCCGGGUUGAGUUUAGUUCAGUCUAGGCAGCAAGCACCCUUAUACCCAACGGGCUACCUUUCAUUGUGGUUUUAACCAAACACACCAACACAUGCCUUUGAACCCAUGGCUGAGAAGAAGGCUCAAGCUUGGAGACUCGCUCUUCUGCCCGUGAGGGUCUGUCCUCUGCCCGUGAGGGUCUGUCCUGUUGUGUGAGCAUAGCCUGUGAACAAAUGCCACGCCCACCGACCAGGACAAGCAAGAGGCAUGCCAGGUCAAGACAGACGGAACAGUCUCUUUGAUGGCAUUCUGGUCCUGCUUUAUGAUAUAUGGCCCACACAUUUUCAUUUAUACAGAUCCAAAAACCAGUCAGCUGCAGCGGCCCGUGGAACUGUCAACUCUCAAACACACUGUCCACCCCUCCACAGCGAGGCAGAACUGUUAGUUCCAUCCCGCCCAUCUCCCUGUGCCCGUGCACCCCCGGGUCCACUGUAUCCAGGCAGCAGCUAGGCGGCAGUCCCCCAAGCCUUUCUCCCUUCCCUUUACUGCUCAGCAAAUCCUGCAGGGAUGGUAGCACCAGGACCCUCUUCUCUUCCACCACCAGCUCAGGCCUCCGGUCUCACUGCUGGUCUUCCACACCAGCCUUCGCUGCAUACCCAACCUCUUCUCAGAAAGUUAGACCCGUUAACGUGACCGGACCAUGUUCUAUCUCUGCUCACAGUCUCAAGGCUCCCAUUAGCCAAGUCCUCCUGGGUCUGAGUGUUUGUUGUCUGAUCCUUGUGAUCUAUCACCUGUCACCUCUCAGGGGUCACCCCCUAACACACACACACACACACACACACACACACACACACACACUAUCCUCUACCACUGAACCAUAGCCACGCAGGUCUCAAGCUCAACUCUCUCUAUCCCUCUCAAAAUGGUGCCCUGCCACCUUCUGCCCCCACAACCCCACAACCCAGACUGCUUUCCAGCUUCUCCCACUUUGUCUGCAAAGCCAUCUGGGCUGCAAGGUUACUUUGGGAAUCCAUCCAGUGCUCCUCUCCUCCUGUUCUGCAUCUUCAUCCACAGCAGCAUCCAUUCAUCUGCAACGGACCCACGAGUGGGUCUGUCACUGUCCUUAAACCCUACAUCAGUGCCAGAACGACAGGGCUCAGAAUGCCCGAGCAGUGCCCCUCACAUGAUUGACUGAAAUUUGUCCCAAAUGAGUAUUGCUGCUUCUCUGUGUGUUGUACGUGUGAAUGUGCACAUGCAUGUGCGGGCACAGCAUGUGGAGGCUGGAGGUCAACACCAAGUGCCUCCCACCAUGGCUUGAUUUUGAGACAGGGUCUCUCACUGGACUGGAGCACCCUGAUUUGGCUAGACUGAUUGCCAGUGAGCCUCAGGGACCCUCCUGUCUCUGCCUUCCCUGAUGGCACAUGCAACUUUUAUGGAGGUGCUGGAAUUCCAAACUCAGGUCCUGCUGUUCAUGCAGCCGUGUCCCCAGACCCUGUUCUGUGGUAUGCAUGAAUGAGAAAAUCACAGGCCAAAGUGUUCUCGGCAGGAGGAGUAGAGAUGGGAUAUGCGGCAGAGCAAGAUUUAGCUUUAUGAAAACACGCAGGGAUAACUACAGAGUGCUACGAUUGUACAGUACCUCUGCAGUUUAAAAUUUCACGAGGGUCAAGGAAGAAGAAAAUGCUGAACGCCUUCCUUCCAGGGUGAUGCAGAAACAAGGGCGGGGAAGCAAGGGAUUAGUAGAAACGAACAGACACGAAAGCCUGUUAUCCCACCGUUGCUGGGAGGUAGGAGACAAAUCAAGAUAUUCAAACACAUGUAAGACAGCCACAGUGUCUUCCCGCUGGAGGAGAGAAUAGAAGAAAUGGCUCAGCGCUCUGAGGAAACAUCUUCUCAGACUUACAAAGGAUGGUAUUUACAUUUUCUCCAAGCCUUUAAUUUUCUCAUUUAUCAUUUGUCAGAGCCCGAGGCCCUUCCUUAGCACAUGGUGUUUGCCAGCAGCUAAUGAUCCCUUUACCAAACAUCACAGUCCAGCCAGGAGCUUGUUAAUGUUGCUAGGGCUGAUGAUUUAAUGCUUCACUGUCACGGGCAGGUCUCUGGACCCUGGAUCACAGGAAUGCUGUGACUCUGGGGCUCUGUGCUUCCUGGAGGCCCCACUGUCACCAGGGAACCAUGGAAACCAAUCCAGUCCCAGAUAUGGAGAAAGCUGAGCACUGAGGUUGGCUUUGGAAGCCAGGCAUGGACUUCUAGAACUCCAUCCAGUGGUCACAGACUGGACGCCAUCUUGCUGCCCCACAGAUCUCCCUGCAGCUGUGAUCUCCUUGUAGUGACAUCAUCCAGGACCUUGCUGAACCUCCCCGGGGUGUCUCUUAUGGCUCUGGUGAGCACAUGAGACCCAGGUUGAUACCAUUCUGGCUUUCCAGCCGAGAAGCAUGACCUUGGGAGACGCCUGAGGUCACAUGGGUGACGGAGGAGAUGGCGGACUCUGACCUGUACAGAUUUCUAGGUUGACGUGAAAACAUCAGAUGCCAGGCAAGCCAAGCUCCAAGUCAAUGCAUUCCAGACUAUCCUCAGGAAGCCUGACAGCCUGAGAAGACUGAGUUCCUUACAAUCCGGCAGAGGGGUCACAAACAGGUCAUUUCCCUUUUCCAUUGUUGGGGACGCUGGAGUCAAGAUGAUAACAUCUGGCCUGCACCUGGUUCACUAGACUGGGCUUCUUGGGAAUGUGCUGGGAUCCCAGGGAUACACAGGGCUUCGAGCUAUGACCUACUCCAGAUGUCAUAGAUGCUCACAGUGACCCCUGACCUCAGGAAGGCAGUGGGCUUUGGCAGAAACUAGAAGCCAGAGCAGGUCAGAAUCCUGCCCCCCUAUGAGGAACAAUGAAAAGUUGUGUGUGAAUGCAGCUGGGGAGAAGUGGGGAUUCGGGAGCUUAAUUACAGGGUCUCUGUGUGACACAGGUCACAGUAAGCAAAAGUCAGGGGUUAACAGUGAGGAAAAUCCAGGGGUUGACCCUUGGAGGUCAGACUGUAGCCUUGCACAGGGCCUUGGAAUAAGUAUCAACAUGCUAAGAACAUUAACCAUGGAGGGCGCAAAGCCCAUUCCUUGGGCAGCCAAGGGCAUCUGUGAGCAUCUUGUGCUGGGUUCCCUGUGCCUGGAGGGGAACUUUAGGAAGAGGACUCUGUAGGAGAAGACCACCAUGAUUUCUGCACUGCUGGUCAUUCAUGAGUGUUUUCUGUACAGACGUUUGGUGUCUCCUACCUGCUGCUGUGUUAGCUUUGCUGUCCUGAGACCUGGUCUGGUGUUCCCGAGGUAAUGGGUGUGGAUAGGGAAGGAGCUGGGGUCUUGGGGGAGCUCUAAGGACACAGGGCUUGUUGGCUCUUGCCCUGAAGCACCGUCUCUAGAGAUACAGAGGCCGGUGGAGCCUGCACUGACGUUUUCUCACGAGUUCUCGGCUAAACCCAAGCCUGUGUCACCGAAAGCUUCUGUUCACGAUGGCCCUACCUUAUGUGUUACCUUGCUGAAAUCACAGCUUUGAUUCUUUCCCUACAUAAACUACAUAAGUAACUAUUAAAAUAUUAUUAAAUUACUAAUAAAAUAAAAAAUAGGCCCCUUGUAUUCAUUGAUAUAUAAUGUUGCCCAGGGAGCCUCAAUACCAACAGUGCAGAAGGGCAGAGGCUACCCCUUUCUCUCUGACACUGUCACCUUCUCUGACACAGGAAGUCCUGCCCGCGGGUAGCCGGAUGGUGUAUGCGUCAAGCUAGCAUGUCUUUCUCUGCAGAGCUGGGCAAGCAUUAGGGCUAAGACUUUUCUCGUGUAGCUUUUCUCUAUCCCAGGUAAUAGUUCCCUCGCAAACUUGUUGACAGUUCUUCCCAAACCCGUUCAUGGUUUUGUCAACUGCCGUCUUGUCUAGCUGUGUUGACUGUGACUCAGUAGAAGAAAUCCAUUUUCUAGAGGGGGCUGCAUGGCAAAAGAGCCUAGCUCCCCAUCUUGGGUACCCCCAAGGGAUAUUUGGUCUUCGUCACGUUUAUGUUUAGUGUGAUAAAACACCAUGACUUAAGCUACUUAUAGAGUAAAGAAUUUCACAUUUCCAGAGGGUUGGAGUUCAUAAUGGUGGAGUGCAUAAUGGUUUGUAAUGGCAGCAAGCUCCAGGCAGUAGGAACAGGAAGCAAAGAACUCACAUCUUGAACCUGAAGUAGAGAGGGCGAACUGGAAAUGCUGGAGGCAUUUAAAUCUCAAAGCCUGCACCCAGAGACAUACAAGGCUGUUUGUACCAUGUGAACCUCCCAAGCGAUGCCACCAUUUGGGGACCAAGGGUUCAACUGCCCAAGACAGUGGGGAUAUUUCUUAUUCAAAUCACUACAAAACACACACACAUGCAUACACACAUACACACACACGUGCACACACACACGCAUACACACAUACACAGACAUGCACACACACACAUACACAUGCACACACAUACACAUACGCACACACACGCGCACACGCAUGUACAUAUGUCUACAAGAAUGGAGCCCAGCAAAUGUGCAUUCAAACACGAGCACACCCCAUGCACACGGAUAUAAAACGUAAUAAAACAACUCUCCCCUUCACUUCGAAUGCUGCCUUUGAACAUUGUCUUAGGGUUUCCGUUACUAUGAAGAGACACCAUGGCCACAGUGACUCUUACAAAAGAGAGCCUUUCACUGGGGCCCACUACAGUUACAGAGAUUUAGUCCAUUACCGUUAUGGCGGCAAACACGUCGGCAUGCAGGCAGACAAGGUGCUAGAGGAGCAGUUGAGAGUUCCACAUCUUAUCCGAGACUGCGUGCCACGCUGGGUGUAGCUUGAGCAUAGGAGACAUCAAAGUCCGCCCCACCUCCACAGUGACACACUUCCUCCAACAAGGUCACACCUCCUACUAGUGUCACUCCUAACGGCCAAGCAUUCCAACGCAUGCAUCUGUGGCGGCCAUUCCUAUUCAAAUCACCACAGAUGUUUUCCAUCCAAUCCUAGUACUUCAUUUUAUAAGAUGCUGGUUGUGGGCACCGACUGAGUUUAGCUUGGGAAGCUGGCCCUGCCUCACUGCAGCGUUGGCUCACAGCUCCCUGGUCUCCGUUGCUCUGUCUUGCCACCAGCUAGCUGGGCACUCCUCUUUGUUUCUGUCGCUCUGCUUUUUGAUUCCGAUCAUGUCUUGGACCACGCGCCAUUACUUCCAUUUGCUGUUUUACGGACGAACAUCUUAAACAACUCUACCAUGCAUUCCUCCGCUAUUUUUGCAGUAACAGAAAAAAAUCAAAGUGGGAAGAAAUGGUUAGGAAGAAAGGCAGGAAGGCAGUGGGAGAGCGAGGGCUAUUUGGAUUUUCACACAGGCCUGGUUCUACAGGGACCCAGCAGAGGCUGAUGGGUAGUCAUGUCCAGCUGUGUGUAACUGUGUGUACCCCAGAGAUGGCCUGGUGAUGGAUGGGAAUGUGCACCCAGGCUCAAAAUCAGAGUCUCUCUCUGGCUUCUGUUUUGGUUCAAAUGUGAAAUAUCCCUUGUAGGUUCUCGUGCAGAAUGUUUGAUCCCCCGCUGGUGACGCUGUUUUAGGAGGCGGAGCCUAGUGGGAGGGGGUAGGUGUCUGGGAGCCUGACUUUGAUGGAAUAUAUCUUUUUCUUGGCCCCACCUUUUUGUUCUCUGCUUCCUGCUUCCUGUUCGCCACAAUGUGAAGAAGUUUCUUGUUCCACAGCCUGGCUGCCACAGCCGCCCCUGCUAAGGUUCAGCGCAAGCCCACGGAGCCAAACAGCUCUCUCAGACUGAGUCAGUAUAAAUCUGUCCUGCCUUAGAUGAUGCUGCCAGACUCUGUCAGCAAUGCAAAAACAACUGAUGUAAUUCUCCUGACCUCUCAGGGAAUGACAAGCCUGUUUGGGAUCCAUCACGUGCCCUUUAGGAAACAUGGCUGCAUGAAUCUGUGACCUCUUCUACCCACCAGCUGAGCACCCCAUCUCCAAUAUGAAAAUAAAACCAGGCAUUGCCAAGUGUCCUCUGGAUGCCAAAGUGACACUGUAGGGACCACUGCUGUCAAGGUGGCUGGCCUGUGCAGGUGGCACCACGCGAUGUCAGUGCCCUUCUGUGUCACACAGAGAACUUCAGCCACCAAUCUCAGUGUCCAGGAAUUGUUCCCUAGAAGCUGCCCCUCAACGGUUGGGUCAUGUGAGAGCCAGAGCUUCAUUCAGCAGCAGCCUCAGGCCUCUAGGUCACCCCUCCACAGCUCCACACCGGUGGUGAGAAUGGCAAAGCCCGUGGUGUCCUGGACUGCACCUGCCCACGCUUAAUAGACUCACAGAAAAGCAAAGGAAAAAUAAGCUUUGACUCACAGAGUUGGUAUCGUGAUGGGUGUCUGUGACACGUGGGCGCACGCUGCCAGUCCUCCUUCAGCAUCCAUGUCUGACACAGUGGCUUUGGAAACUGGAAACAGUGCACGCAGAUGCUCCAGGGACAACUGACUGGCCACUGAUGGAGAUUGGGUCAUAACAAAAGUCCAGAACAUAUGAGGACCUUGUCCUGCGGACGGAAGUGGCUAUUCCCUACACAGCUGUACCUGCCCUUGGCUCUGGCUUAGGCCUAUCCUUGUCCGUGACACAAUUGACACCACCUUCAGCCGACCUACUGAGUCUGCCUGGAGGACAUGGGCAGAGAGACCAAAGCUUUGGCUGCAGUGAAGGACUUUCAACUUCAGACUAAAUACAGCCAAAAUACAAAGGCCCCUGUGCCCGUGAGCCAGGGCCCUGGAGUAUCUGCCAGCUCGCUCCUGUGAGAGCUGCAUCUGAGCGUGUCCAGAUGUUGUCCCCGCAGUUCAUGCAUUUGUCUUGGCAAUAGCUCCACAUGUGUGCCUUCCCACGGGGUCGGUCCAUGCUCCUCUGGUCUGUGUUUCUAAGUAUGUUUGCUUUGCCUUCCUCUCAUCAGACCACCAAGGCCCAUUUUUGUCCGCUAUGGAGAAAGCCCUCGAGGAUAUCAGCACAUUGGCUCAUAUAGCCUACAUCCUAAUAAAGAAGUAGCUGUUUGUCAAACAA
Non-coding RNA from Rattus norvegicus (Norway rat), 9215 nucleotides. NCBI's taxonomy places the organism in Eukaryota, Metazoa, Chordata, Mammalia, Rodentia, Muridae. The record is from RefSeq and is a predicted model, not a curated record.